GAUGAAGAACGUAGCGAAAUGCGAUAGGUAAUGUGAAUUGCAGAAUUCAGUGAAUCAUCGAAUCUUUGAACGCACCUUGCGCCCUUUGGCUAUUCUGAAGGGCAUGCCUGUUUGAGUAUCGUGAACACCUCAACUCUCAUGGUCUGCCAUGAUGAGCUUGGACUUUGGGGGUCUUGCUGGCCUACUGUCAGCUCCUCUCAAAUGAAUCAGCUUACCAGUGUUUGGUGGCACCACAGGUGUGAUAACUAUCUACGCUUGUGGUUUUCUGCCAGGUAACCUCCAGUGAUGGAGGUUCGCUGGAGCUCACAAAUGUCUCUCCUCAGCGAGGACAGCUUUUUGAACGUUUGAUCUCAAAUCAGGUAGGACUACCCGCUGAACUUAAGCAUAUCAAUAAGCGGAGGA
RNAcentral lists this unclassified non-coding RNA (402 nucleotides) under soil metagenome. RNAcentral describes it as "partial contains 5.8S ribosomal RNA, internal transcribed spacer 2, and large subunit ribosomal RNA". The stretch from base 1 to 121 matches the Rfam family "5.8S ribosomal RNA", at positions 35 to 154 of the family's 154-position model. The record is from RNAcentral.